Molecule: long non-coding RNA, 5061 nt
Filed under: Mus musculus (house mouse)
Lineage: Eukaryota; Metazoa; Chordata; Mammalia; Rodentia; Muridae
Description: predicted gene 3234
Source: RNAcentral
GAGCUUGGCUUGCUGGUAGAGCUAGCUGUGCAACACUUAUCGGUCUGGAGUCUUUGCUGCUCUUUGCUUUGCUGAGAAGCAAAGCUGAGAACUUUCCCCAGCAUUCCUUUUGGCCCUGGUCCCUCCUGCUGACUUGUGCUGAUUCAGCUGAGGUCUGGCUGUCUCUGCUAGGCCAUGCCACCACUGCUGCUAUCUCGGCUCUGCCCAACUGGACUUCUGAUGAAUUUGUGAAGUGUUUAUGAGUGGCUCAAGCUGCUGCUGCUGCUGACCUCUGAACUGAACUACAGAUUUCCAGACAACAAGGGCAGGAGUUGCUCCAAAGAACCUUUCCUAAACAGGAGAUACAAUGCAGACAACUGGGGGAGAAAAGACUUACCUAGCUGUGAACCCUGCAAGUUACAGCAAUGACUGGCCUGAUGAGAAAUGUCCACUGAGGCAGUAGUGGUACAAAUGGUAAGGAUGUGACCAACGCUUUCUAAUUGGAUUUAAGGCUACUUUUCAUGAGGGGAUGUAUGCCUGAUACCACAAACAUGGCUUAAAAAAAACAAAACAAAACCCAUGGCUGGUGAAAUCAGAGGCUUUCCCUAUAGGAGAGUCUACUUCUAUCGUUUUGCUAAAAGGACAUAAUAUCAAAACAUCACAGUGUCCUCUCAGUACUUUCCCUUAUGCCCAUAGAUUAAAGCAGUUCUCAUUCCCCACCAUAGAAGCUUUAUCCUUCCCCAGUGGAUGCUGAUUAACACCGUGUGGUGGUUUGACUGAAAACGGCAUUCAUAACCUCAUAUAUUUGAAUACUUGGUCUUCCAUUGGUAGAACUAUUUGGGAAGGCUUAUAAAGUGUGGUUGCUUGAAUAGGAAUGGCCACCACAGACUCAUGUGUUUGAGUGCUUGUCGCAUAGGGAAUGGCAUUAUUCGGAGGUAUGGCCUUGUUGGAGAACUUGUGGCCUUAUUGGAGGAAGUGUGUCACUGUGGGGGCAGGCUUUGAGGUCUCCUAUGCUCAAGCUACACCCAGUGUGGCUCCCAGUCACUUAUACUACCUGCAGAUCAAUAUGUAGAUCUCUCAGCAUCCAGCAUCUCCAGCCCUAUGUCUGCUUGCACAUCAUCAGGAUGAGAAUGGACUAAACCUCUGACAUUGAAAAUCAACCCCAAUUACAUGUUUUCCCUGAUAAAAGUUGCUGUGGUCAUGGUUAGAAACCCUAAGUCAAGAAGGGUAACCUCAUUGGAAGAGAUGCUCUCUCUUUCUCAUUCUCUCUCUCUCUCUCUCUCUCUCUCUCUCUCUCUCUCUCUCUCUCUCUCUCUCUCUCUCUCUCUCUCCAUCCUACUCAUAUAUAAGGAUGCAGGCUCUCAGCAUCCCAGAACCAUGCUUGCCUGCCUGCUACCAUCCUCCCACCAGGGCAGUCACAGAUUCUAACCCUCUUGAACUUUGACUCCCAGAUCAAAUGAUUUUCUCUAUAUAGUGCCUUGGUCAUGGUGUCUUAUCUUAGCAAUAAAAAGGUAACCAAGACCCACAGUUGCUCAGUUUACAGAAAACAAGAAAACAAGUGCCUGGGCAGGGAAGGUGCUCAGCCCUAAAUGGGACACUGUGCUCAAGGCUCAGGAAGUAACCUGAAAGUGGAAUGCUGGAUUGUAAGGGUCAGAGGUCAGAACUGCUGAGAAUAGGCACCGUGUCCUCUGGAUGCAAUAGGACUGCUACACAUGCAACAUCACAGCAGCUCUGGUUGCCUGCACAAGAUGUGAACAAGAUCAAGUCAGUCAACAUUCUAGUGUGGAUGGACAAAGGGUGGUUAGCAGUUAACUGAGGGUCUACAGGCAGCUGAUGACUGCUCUGGGAGGAAGAGUCAUUUUCUUCAGGGUGUGGCUCCUGGUCAUGGUCCAAGCUCCAGUGGAAUGCCUCACAAUUACACCUAUCCAUUGACAGGCAGCACUGGUUGGAUCCAAUGGUUAUAGGUAGGUUUGAAAAGACAUGAAGCUGGGAAGGUGGGUGGGGAAGAGACUAAGGACUUGGUAUUAUUUACAAUAAAACUUGCACGAAAUUACCAAAGAAUAGAUUUAAACUUUAUAAAGUAAAAGGAAAAUAAAUCAAGAAGGCAGGCAUGUAAGAUGGCCUUUAGCUAUGUGUGUGUGUGUGUGUGUGUGUGUGUGUGUGUGUGUGUGUGUGUGUGUGUAGUUCCUGUCUAGACUUGGGUCCCAUCUCUAAGACCUCUGAUUAUAAUAAGCAACUGUUCUGAAGUAUAAAAUAUUUCUGAUCUCAAGAAUUUCAGACAAGUGAUAACCAACUGGCUUUCAUCCUCGGAGGUUAUAUCAGAAGUGUCUUCCUGACCACAGGGACAUCCCAUGGCUCCCCUUUGAGAGAAGUUUGGCAGAGGGCACGCAGACACAGGCUCACCUGGACCCUGUUGAAAUUAAGAACUUCUAAGUAUAGCUUUCUCCUUCUGGGUGUGUUCUGUUUGCAGCUGGCCAAACAGACCUCCAGGAAAGUUAAUUUCUUUUUUUGAAUCCUAUAGGCUCAAGGAAUUCUUUAAAAUCAUGUUCUGUUCAGUUAAAUCCUGCAUUGGACUGAAUGUUCUGGAAUGUGUGCUAAAGUUCAUGAAGUUCAAAAUGCUUAACAAGAUGCAUUUUUGUUCUUGUUGAAUCUUGAAUGUCAGAAUAAUUUAUUAGACCUGUUCUCCCUGCAGAGCCGGUGUCAUUCCUUCUCUGGAAGACACAGGACUCAUUGGUGGGGUUUUCUAUUGCACAUGGCUACUCUUCUUCUUACUAUCAUGUUUGUCGCUAGGAAUGAGGAAAGUGGCCGGGGUUACCACUAAAGCAGAAAAUGAAUCUAGGAGAGAGAAAAACAAAAAUUUCAUGAAUUGAAGAAACAGUUACUAGAGGUAACUUAGCUGAGUUUCCUUUAAGUUAGAUCGAAAAAUCUCUUGCAGAGGCACUCUAUCUAUCUAUCUAUCUAUCUAUCUAUCUAUCUAUCUAUCUAUCCAUCCAUCCAUCCAUCCACCCACCCACCCACCCACCCACCUACCUACCUACCUACCUACCUAUGUCUCAGAAGAUUUGGAGUUGGACAGCCACACAUGCAAGGCCAAUGGCUUGAAGUAGCAAAGGCUUUAUGUCAUGCUACAUGAACUCAAACUGUAAGAAUCAGUCACAGUAUGGAAGUGGUUUUGUGUUGUUUUUGUGAAAUGGAUUUUGUGUGUCUGUUUUAUUCGUGGGAUAAGGAUGGGAAAUAACCCCAGUUAUGGGAUAAUGCUGGCAAUUUACAAACAUCUAAAACCCAGACUCACAACCCAUACUGCCUCAGCCAUUAUAGAACUUGAAAGACAUUAUUUCUCUAGCAAGGCACUUGUCUGAGAAAUAUGAGCCAGCCCUGGGAUUAUGACAGAUGUCUCCAGGUGAGGCUUUGAUCCUCUGGGUCACUGAAAGCCUGGCCAGGAUUCCGCUGACUUGUCAGGACACUGGUGGCUCCUGGACACUCACGUAUUGGCUUUAGGUUGGCUAGCCAUUGAAUUCUUCCGUGUUGUUCUAAAACGGAUCAACUCCAUUUCCUGACAUCAACUCCCAUUGCCUUCCCUGUCUGUUCCCUUUAAGACUUAAUUCAGAUGCUGCCCAAACCUCUAUGUUGGCCACGCCCCCUCGCUAUGUUGGCCACGCCCCACGCAUCCACACAGAUCUUCCUGGGAGCCUCAAGUCCUUUCUGCGCUCCAAGGUCUUUGUCCUCUCUUUGGCUGCUCAGGCCUUUCCUUCUCCCUUCAAAUCUACUGUCACUGCUUCUGGGAGAUGACCUGGCUUCCCUGCUGCUGCGUGUCCUUCCAGUCUCUCUGUCCCCUUGUCAAUCUAUCUUUGUUUCUGUUUACUCAUUUCUGAUCCCCCCCCCCCCCCAGACUGAGCGUCAAAUCGACACUGACCUGUGAAGACUGUGCUUGGUUUCCUGGCUUUUCACAUUAUUUACUCUUGUCAGUAAGACCCACCAUGCAGACACACAGAGUACAUCCAGACCUGUGGACCCAAGUGACUACAGAACCAGGGGCCAUAGGUAAGAACUCAUAAGGAUUGGAGUCGAUCAGUACUGUGUUUGAGGAAACCUAAUUGAACUUGAGAUCGGAUGAGCCAGGAGUGAGGGAGAACGGUGAGGCCCCAAACCCCAACUCCUAAACCCCAUGUGCCGUCUCAUGCAUGUGAUGUCUGGUUGCAGCCAACACUUGGCUCAAGUGCAAAGUAAAGUAUUAUACCUGGGAAAGAGUAAAGGUGACAGGUGUGGGGUCAGGUGCAUGGGGAGUGAGGGGGAGAGGAGUAACCUGAUAAAUUUUUCCCAGUGACAGCUUUCCCAGAGACUUCCUGCCCCCAGACUGUUGAGGUGUCCCCUCACUGGUACUCAAAGGUGUCCUUUGACAUCUGUUUCUGACCCUAGAGGAUGUUUCUGCACCUGAGUUACUUCUUGUCCGUCUAGCCUUUUGUUUAUUAACAUCUUCCAUAAAGGUGAAUGGGACAAGGUGGUGAGGCUGUCUAGUGGAUGUGGGGGGAGGCAGGUGGGGCCUUGGCUUCAUGCAACUUCCUUGUCCUGUGUUUGGAACUGACAAGGUGACAGAUGGCAUGACAGAGGGUUUAGAGGACAGACGAGAACCUCUAAUCCACCCUGGGGAGACUGGGGCCAGAAGAGAUGACAUUUAAGCUGAAUCCUUAAGAGCAGGCAGGGGGAAUCCAAAUGGGGAUGGCUUCAACGGAGGGUACCAUGGAAGAACCACAGAGACGAACAAAGGCAGCCGGGAGCUGGCCUGCCUCUUGCUCACCUGGCCUGGAGCAGGGUCUGCAACAAUCAUAGACAGAGGGAACGGACAAGCCAUGAUGGAGGCUCAAAACCAGGGCAGAUGGCCAGACAUUUUGUCCUGUGGGCCCCAUGAGUAAACAUCAGUGUGUGUUAGGUAGGGUGACUGUGUAGGAAAGGGCUUUCAAGGGGAGCCUCAGGUCCCGCGUUGAUGGGGAAACGGAAAUUCCCCUCUUGGGUUUAUAGUCUCCUCAAUAAAGGAGUUUAAACUGGUCAUAGAAGGAAAUUUGAGGAUAAUUUUAUUAGUGUUUC